This 727-nucleotide small RNA is filed under the name Arabidopsis thaliana (thale cress). RNAcentral describes it as "ATSL281600". The record is from RNAcentral. Lineage: Eukaryota; Viridiplantae; Streptophyta; Magnoliopsida; Brassicales; Brassicaceae.
AUAAAAAAUAUAUUAAUACGAGACGAUAUAUUACAGGAAAAAUCUUAAAUAUAACAAUCAAAAUUCAAUGAUGAAUUUUGGGUCGAUAUUGUAUUUUUUUAAGUUUCAGAUUUUAUAAUAUUGAAAUUUAUAAGAAAAUGACAAAAUUAUGUUUAAUUUCAAGGGACUGGGUUAUAUGGUAGGACGGGUUUGGGUGGAUAAUAACUACGAUUUUAGAAUGUCCCACAUCGCUUAAAAAAAUGGACAAUGGUCAAGAGCCAUACUAUAAAAAGGACCAAAAUAAUUUUGAUUACAAAUGAGCAUGAAACUUAAUUUAUGAGGUGUCCAAAAUUAAAAUGGUUUGUUUACUAGGGUUAUUUUUAUUUUAAAAAAUUGAAGCUUUAAAAAGUUUAAAAAAUUAUAAAUUAAAUUUUACAAGAAAUUUAAACAAUAUAAAACAUAUUAAUACGGGACGAUAUACUGCGAGAGAAAUCUUAGAUAUAACACUCAAAAUUCAUUGAUGAAGUUUGGGUCAAUAUUAAUCUUUUUUGAAGUUUCUAAUUUUAUAAAUAUUUGAAAUUUAUAAUAAAAUGAUAAAUUUGUGUUUAAUUUCACGGGACGGGGUUAUAUGGUGUGACGGGUUUGAGUGGAUAAUAACAUGGGAUAGUAUGCUAUGGAAAAACAUAUAAUAACAAUCAUAAUAUAAUUAUAUAAUCUUAAACACUAAACAAAAUUAACAAUAUUAAAA